This 402-nucleotide ribosomal RNA is filed under the name Verrucomicrobiota bacterium. RNAcentral's name for it is "Verrucomicrobia bacterium partial 16S ribosomal RNA". It matches the Rfam family "Bacterial small subunit ribosomal RNA", at positions 355 to 776 of the family's 1533-position model. Lineage: Bacteria; Pseudomonadati; Verrucomicrobiota. The record is from RNAcentral.
UGGGGAAUUUUGCACAAUGGGGGAAACCCUGAUGCAGCGACGCCGCGUGAUUUAGAAGGCCUUCGGGUUGUAAAAAUCUUUUGUAUGGGAAGAAAAUGACAGUACCAUACGAAUAAGGACCGGCUAAUUACGUGCCAGCAGCCGCGGUAAUACGUAAGGUCCGAGCGUUGUCCGGAAUCAUUGGGCGUAAAGGGUACGUAGGCGGAUAAGCAAGUUAGAAGUGAAAUCCUAUAGCUCAACUACAGUAAGCUUUUAAAACUGCUCAUCUUGAGAUAUGGAAGGGAAAGUGGAAUUCCUAGUGUAGCGGUGAAAUGCGCAGAUAUUAGGAGGAAUACCGGUGGCGAAGGCGACUUUCUGGCCAUAAUCUGACGCUGAGGUACGAAAGCGUGGGUAGCAAACAGG